UACGUAGGGCGCAAGCGUUGUCCGGAAUUAUUGGGCGUAAAGAGCUCGUAGGCGGUUUGUCGCGUCUGCUGUGAAAACCUAAGGCUCAACCUUGGGCUUGCAGUGGGUACGGGCAGACUAGAGUGCGGUAGGGGUGACUGGAAUUCCUGGUGUAGCGGUGGAAUGCGAAGAUAUCAGGAGGAACACCGAUGGCGAAGGCAGGUCACUGGGCCGCAACUGACGCUGAGGAGCGAAAGCAUGGGGAGCGAACAGG
This 253-nucleotide ribosomal RNA is filed under the name uncultured bacterium. RNAcentral describes it as "partial 16S ribosomal RNA". It matches the Rfam family "Bacterial small subunit ribosomal RNA", at positions 524 to 776 of the family's 1533-position model. The record is from RNAcentral.